This 1458-nucleotide long non-coding RNA is filed under the name Equus asinus (donkey). RNAcentral's name for it is "lncRNA (ENSEASG00005037876.1)". The record is from RNAcentral. Lineage: Eukaryota; Metazoa; Chordata; Mammalia; Perissodactyla; Equidae.
GCCCAAUCUCGGGAUUGGCAAAGUCAAACGUUUACUAGGAAAUUCAGCCAAGCGACGGAGAUUAACGCGCUUGAUCAUCUUCCCAAAGGGCGAGUUAUUUUCAGAAAACCAGACUUGAAUACGCACCGAAUUUCACACUCCGCCCCACAGUUUCUUUAAAGUAAAUAAGUGUCUAAAAUGAUGACAGUAAAACCUGUGGUUUCACAUCGUGAGUGUCUGCAAAGUCUCAUAUUCUCUUGGUGAAAUUUCCUGGCAGAAGCAAAGCUUUCCCGAGGAGGGGAGGAGGACAGGCCGUCUGGCUCCUGACUGCACGUGUGUCUGGGAAUAUUAGGAUCAUUUUCAACUGCCCAUCUUUAGCCCAGAGCUACUUUUUAUUCUUUCUUAAGAGAAAAAAACAUUCCAAGAAGCGAAAAAGUAUAGUCAAAUCUUAUCCUCUGUGCAAGGGGGCAAAAUCAACGCGUCUUCCCCACUUUCCUCCGGGAACGAACCACAGGAGAUAUGUCUCAUCUUCAAGCAGUGCUGUGCUGGCAAACCAGCUCUUGAGAGGAAGACCAAAAUCCUGAUCUGUAGCAUUUGCCAAUUUCCGUGGUAUAAAUAUUCCUACCAUGGCUCAUUUGAAGGCAUCCAGAGAUUACCACCAGCUCCCCAAAUUCCUGAAUGUUUAACAAUUAGUUCUCAGAAAAUGGGAUAAGCCAGCUUCCGCUUACCAGUCUCUUGAAGAAAAGUAUCAUUAUUGGCCACAACAUGCAUUAUUCGUGCAGUGUAUGUAGAUAGCUCUACCAGGCAUUGAUAAAGUCGCAAUGGAAAAGAUAAACAAUAGAAAUGAUCUCUUCCAUUAAGAAACUUACAAUUGAACAAAAGGAAAAAAACCCACAACAACGAAGCACUGCAAAGACACAGCUGGACAGAGCCCUCUUUUUCUGCUACAUCAGUUUGAAAUAGUCUCUCCCUUCUGGACACAACUUUUCAGACAGUCAGGGUCUCCAGGAGAGGCCAGGCAGUGCAACCAAGAUGGUGCCAGGCAUUGAGACCACAUGGUUUGGGGAUGGGGGGGAGAACCAAGCGUGUCCGGCAUGGGAUCGAGGAGAUAUGGAGGAACAAGAAGCACUUUACAAAUCCAAGGGCUCCCAAGGGGGGUGUCACUCGAAAGUUUGUACAAGUGAUUUUCUCCUGUUGCAAAGCGGUGAACUAGAUCUACUGGGUGUGAGCCACAAGGAAGCAGAUCCCUGUCCACCCGAGGAAAUCUUUCCAAAAACGGGAGACGUGCAUAUGGUAAUGAAGUACAUAAACUCUCAGAAAAGCACCAGAAGUCAGAAGUAGACUUUUCUAAUAAGGAAGAGUGAGAUCAGAAAAACCAGGGCCUGAACUCUCCUUGCAAGUCCUUGGCAUCAAAGCCUCAUCAGUAAGCCCCAGCCCCACGUCAGCUCCCCAGGAGCAUGAGCAACAGUCAUGUGGUCC